GAUGAACGCUGGCGGCGUGCCUAAUACAUGCAAGUCGAGCGAACAGACGAGGAGCUUGCUCCUCUGACGUUAGCGGCGGACGGGUGAGUAACACGUGGAUAACCUACCUAUAAGACUGGGAUAACUUCGGGAAACCGGAGCUAAUACCGGAUAAUAUAUUGAACCGCAUGGUUCAAUAGUGAAAGACGGUUUUGCUGUCACUUAUAGAUGGAUCCGCGCCGCAUUAGCUAGUUGGUAAGGUAACGGCUUACCAAGGCAACGAUGCGUAGCCGACCUGAGAGGGUGAUCGGCCACACUGGAACUGAGACACGGUCCAGACGCCUACGGGAGGCAGCAGUAGGGAAUCUUCCGCAAAGGGCGAAAGCCUGACGGAGCAACGCCGCGUGAGUGAUGAAGGUCUUCGGAUCGUAAAACUCUGUUAUUAGGGAAGAACAAAUGUGUAAGUAACUAUGCACGUCUUGACGGUACCGAAUCAGAAAGCCACGGCUAACUACGUG
Molecule: ribosomal RNA, 497 nt
Filed under: uncultured bacterium
Lineage: Bacteria
Description: partial 16S ribosomal RNA
Rfam family: Bacterial small subunit ribosomal RNA
Source: RNAcentral